CUCACCAUAAUGGACAUCUAGAACCUUGCAAAUGUAGAAGUUGUUGCUUACCCUGACAAUUAUUUGCUCUGCCUAUCCUAUAUAGACUACAAAAAUCUGGAUGGCCACCAGAUAGUAGAAGAUAGCAGAAAAUGGGAAGGAAAAAAACAGAUGGAUCACAGACAGAUUCAGUUGGAAAAAAGGGAAACUAUGGUCAACUCCCGUAUAUGUUUGCAGUCUACUUUGCUUGCUGCAACAGAAUCCUGAGAAAAUCAAGCCCUUCUUGAUUGGCAGAGCUUGCGUGGCCUAAAGUGGAACAAUUCUGCUCUUCUGUGAUCUAAAACCAUUACACCUAUUUUACUGAAGAAAACAGGAGGUUAUAAUUGAUGCAAUUAGAACAAAAAAGAUCAUAUAGAGAUUUUGGAAAGAUUCUUAACAAGGAAGAGAAUUUUACCCCAGAAAAAAACUCUAUCCUCUAUCAAUGUGUGUAGAUGUGUAUUUUGCAAAAAAGGAAAACAAUUUGGUGUGUUGUCACAACUGCGAUGCCCGGUAUAAUUAUGCAUUGAUAUAAUUAUGUAUAUUAUUACAAGGUACAAAUGUUAAAGGCACUAAAGUAUACCCUGGAAAAAUGAAAAGGAUUUUAGAAUGUAUGAACUAACUCUAUUUAUGUAACAGGUCCAUUUUGGAAAAAAAGUGAUCAGCAGAUUAUGUGAACAGCAUAUCUGCUUUUAAUUUAGACACUUUUAGACAUAGAAAAGAGAGAGAACUUUCAAAGCCAGAAUUUAUUCUUAUCCCUUACCAACACGGGAUACUUCUAGAUGAGCAGGUACCCUACCUUAAACACAAAAUUGUAUUAGCGAAUCUUGUGAUAUUGUCCAAACUAAUGGGUGGGAGACCUCAUUCUGUAGAGAUGGAAAAAUCAUAUUCCCUGGUAAUAAUUAAAAGCCAGCCUAGUUGUUUUACAUGGUUUAGACAUUCACUUAUAUCAGCAUGAAAGAACUUUUCUAUUGUAUCAUUCUUUCUUUGAAACACUCUCUGCUUUAGAAAUUGAGCACAUGCCAACUUUGCUAUGGUUGAAUAGCAAUUGCUGUGAAAUGAAAAUCUGUUUAUUUACCCCUAGCAUUUGAGAGCUCAUGAUGGCAUAGCUGAACUAGUUAACAGCCAUUGUUUUAUUAUUCUUGCAUUAUUUUGAUGUGCUUAAUCAUGGUUCUUAAGAUUUUCUUCAAUAACAGAAAAAUCAUUGCACAAAAGGUAACAAUAUUUAAAAUGCAUUUUUAAAAAACUGGUUGCCUGUUUUGACAGAACUUCCCUGAUUGUGGAUGGCACUCCUGUUACUAUAGUUUGUUAGGGCUACUCAGAGGUACAUUCUUCUGUUCAGGGAAGCAUAAUUCCCAAGUUAAGAUUAGGGGUGAAUGUGGGUUAAUUUUUUUUAUCUGUUCCUGCCCAUGUCCAUCUUGUUAUUCAUGUAGCAAAAUAAAAAGACGAUUUUCCUUGGGUGACAGCUAGGGUAAAUCUUUACUUGGGAAUAAUUUAGUAUCAGGCAGAAUUUAAUACUGGGAAGUUUUCUAAGGAAACAAAUUUGAGUAGCAUAAGAAAUGUUCCACUUUAAUAGGCUGGGGCCUAUUGCAUUUAUACUGAUGUUGUCCACAUAGAAAUAUAGUUUCCUUACAGAUAAAACUAAGUCACCAUUACAAAAUAUUUACACACAGUUGUCCCCAGCAUGAUAAUAGAAUCAUCAUUAUCAUAUCAUCAUCAUCAUGCAGCUUUACUGGGAACAGCUUAAAGUUGAGGUGAUAUCUGUAAUACCAUCAUAUAUCCAUAUCUGCCUAUCCCAGAUAGAAAAUAGGUAGAUAGAAAGAUAGGUAGAUAGAUUGAUAGAUAGGAGACGGAAUUGGUAUCUUCAUGAACAGAAUUACAACUAUUAAUUUCAGCAUUCCGAUUUGUUUUAACAAGUCAUGAUGUUUUAUUUGGGGGGAUUUUGUGGAAGAAUAGUCCCAGGUUUUUAAUUCCAAUUGCAGAAUUAAUAUUUUAAUUGCUUAUAAAAUUGCAAAAGAACAGAAGAAUCUCAGAUAGCCAACUGUAAUUAUUUACACCAAAGCACAUAUAGGAGGUAGGCCCUAAUUAUAAAAUGAAUUGUAAAAUCUACACCCUUUUUUAAUACAUGGAUUUGAUGCAGAGUACAUACCUUCUAUCUUAGCAAAGUAGUCUUUGCUUUCCAGAAUAUUCAAAUCAUUUGGAAACACACCUUUUUUAGUCUGCUUUCAUGCCUAUUUUGCUAUCAGAAAGUUUUCUCAACAGGAACUUAGAAGUACAGUUCUAUCUUGUUCAGCUAAUGAUUGAUGUUAGCUGGGAACUUCCACUGAAAAAUCCCCCACAUGAGACUUCCUUGUAUGUAGCCACAGAAAACUGAUCAUUAUAAUUUGUACUCUCACUAAAUCAGAAUUUAAAGUGAAAACAAAAUGUAAACUAGUUGUAGAACUUUAAUAUCCUGUCAAUAAUGCCGUGUACUACAGUAAAACUUCUGUUCUAUGGAUGUGAAUUGAAGGAUGAGAGUUUUUGAAUGAUUUUUAAUCAGCAGGGACUCAGGAGUACUUUGUAAGGCUUAUUUUGAGCAGAUGUAUAGAUUAUGAAAAAAUGAAAAAUAAUAACAAACAUUUUCUGAGGGAAGAUACACAGUUUCUUCAGAUUUGAGAGGAUACAUAUAGGUUGUGUGUAUAUUUAUUUAUAAAAGUUUUACACUGAAAAGGAGUUGCCAUUUUCACAUUUUGAAAAGUGCUGUUGCAAUCUCUGAAUCAUCUUUUUGUGGUGGGAUUUGAGCCACUGUGUGGCUGUAAAUCAGAUGGCAAAAUUGAAUGGUGCAUGUUCUGGAUAAUUGGAAGUUUCUGUACCAAAGUUUUGUAUGAACAUUUAAAUUGGUUAUAUGGUAGUAAAUGAAUAGUUACUAGUGCUUAGCUAAAAGCCUUUGCAAUUUUCCAGAAUAAAAGCGCUGAUAAUAUUGAGGUACAUCUUUUUGCAGAACAUUAGAAUGUAAAAUACAAAUCCAGUUACAAAUUUAAAAUAUCAGUUAUAAACAAUUAUAAACAGACAAUCCAGUAGAUUACCCUAAAGCAAAAUCUCAGACCAGUGAAUCAACAACUAUUUUAGCAAUAGCUUUUGUGUAAAUUGACCAGCUGCAAUUAAAACAAUGGAGCUAU
This is a long non-coding RNA of Crotalus tigris (Tiger rattlesnake), 3173 nucleotides long. RefSeq lists it as uncharacterized. Lineage: Eukaryota; Metazoa; Chordata; Lepidosauria; Squamata; Viperidae. The transcript has 2 exons. The record is from RefSeq and is a predicted model, not a curated record.